RNAcentral lists this ribosomal RNA (433 nucleotides) under uncultured bacterium. Its description in RNAcentral is "partial 16S ribosomal RNA". It matches the Rfam family "Bacterial small subunit ribosomal RNA", at positions 29 to 507 of the family's 1533-position model. The record is from RNAcentral.
AGCGAACGCUGGCGGCAGGCCUAACACAUGCAAGUCGAACGAACUCUUCGGAGUUAGUGGCGGACGGGUGAGUAACACGUGGGAACGUGCCUUUUGGUUCGGAAUAACUCAAGGAAACUUGUGCUAAUACCGAAUGUGCCCUUCGGGGGAAAGAUUUAUCGCCAUUAGAGCGGCCCGCGUCUGAUUAGCUAGUUGGUGAGGUAACGGCUCACCAAGGCGACGAUCAGUAGCUGGUCUGAGAGGAUGACCAGCCACACUGGGACUGAGACACGGCCCAGACUCCUACGGGAGGCCGCAGUGGGGAAUCUUGCGCAAUGGGCGAAAGCCUGACGCAGCCAUGCCGCGUGAAUGAUGAAGGUCUUAGGAUUGUAAAAUUCCUUCACCGGGGACGAUAAUGACGGUACCCGGAGAAGAAGCCCCGGCUAACUUCGUG